CUGUCUUACAACGGAGCAGUUUAAUUAUACAAAUCACUGUGAACAAAAACAAUAAAUAAAUACAAUGGGGACAAAACCCUUCGCACACCAGACAUAACGUGCACAAACUCUUACAAUGAACAAUACUGGACAAGGACAUGGGGGGGGGGAACAGAGGGUUAAAUACACAACAUGUAAUUGAUUGAAUUGAAACCAGGUGUGAGGGAAGACCAGACAAAACCAAUAGAAAAUCAAAAGGUGGAUCGGCGAUGGCCAGAAGGCCGGUGACGUCGAACGCCGCCCGAACUAGGAGAGGGACCGACUUCGGCUGAAGUCUUGACAGUGGUCCCGUAUACAACUGACGUACAACAUAUUUGGCACAACGGUUUUGGGAUGCCAGUUGUAUCAUACAAGAGUUUUUCUGCACACAAAUAAACUACACAAGCGUGUGGAGAAACCGCUCAGUGGAUCUGCAACAAACUCUUCAUUGCAUCACAAAAAUAAAUCAGAUCACAAACCAUUGUGUCCAAUGUGUUGUAGAUCAGUUGGCAGAACCUGAGUGUGAACGGGGCCAAAACUACAAAACACAAACCUAAGCUGUGACUGAGUGGAACAGACAGUGAAACUGAGACUCGGGGCUAACGGACGGCUGAUACCUCAUACUGGGCCAGGGAGAGGACCAAAUAUAGAUCAAAAAAAUGUGUUUCAGUUUCUCAAAGACGUGUUUGAACAUGGCAUGGUGGUUGUUGUUGUUGUUGUUGUUAUUAUUAUUAUUAUCUAUAUCUGUGUGUAAGGUUGUAAAAUUCAAGUAACUUUCAAUUAAAUUCCCAUGAUUUCCUGCUUGUUCCCCCCCUGAUUCCGGGAAUCUCCCAAACUGGAAAACCUGGGAAUUUUGGGAAAACGACUGGAAUUUUCCAAACUUUUCUGUGUGCUUCACUAUACUGCCCUGACCAGUUGUAAGACAGUGCAGUGAAUGUAUCCGGUGACUGAGUAGAAGUUGUUGCCGUGGUAACGAGCCAAGUCUUGAAAAAAAUAAAAUAAAUACAAAAUGGCUUCCAGAAGAGAACAGCAGCAACCGUUCCCUUCGGGUGCUCCAACCAGAGACACGCCCCUUUUCACCUCAGUCCAUCUGUCCAUCAACCCAUCCCUUUAAUCACUAAGUUGCAUCAGUAUAAUAUUUCUUGUUAUUUAAAAAAAAGAGAAACGGCAACAUUCAGUCUAAUUCAAUUUAAAGUUUGUAAAUUUUUUUUUUAAAAGGUACUAAUUUUAAUUUACACACUUAACAAGAUAAGAGCAGAGAGUGUUUUGUAGAUGCUGAGAAAGGAAUGUAUGUUUUUAAAUAACAUUCAUUCUUAUGUUUUCUUGUGGUUAUGUAAAGAUUUCUUAAUGUUCUGAGAACACGACUUUAAAUUAAAACCAUGAGGAAACCUGUAGAAAACGUUAUGCUGAAGUACUGAAAUUAAAUAUUUUAAUGUUCUCUGAACGUGACUAAGUAGAACCAUGAGGAAACCUGUAGGAAACGUUAUGCUGAAGUACUGAAAUUAAAUAUUUUAAUGUUCUCUGAACGUGACUAAGUAGAACCAUGAGGAAACCUGUAGAAAACGUUAUGCUGAAGUACUGAAAUUAAAUAUUUUAAUGUUCUCUGAACGUGACUAAGUAGAACCAUGAGGAAACCUGUAGGAAACGUUAUGCUGAAGUACUGAAAUUAAAUAUUUUAAUGUUCUCUGAACGUGACUAAGUAGAACCAUGAGGAAACCUGUAAAAACCUGUAGAAAAUAUUAUGCUUUGAAGAACUGACAAUCCCAAAAGAAGAACGUUGUUUCUUAACGUUCUCUGAACAAAUUUGAGAACAUUAAUUUAUAUCGAACCGUGAGGAAACGUCAUUGGAAAGUUGUAUGCAAUAUAACCCCAGGAACAAACACACUCUCACCAAGUAGUGCACUGUGUAGGGAACAGGGUUUUAUUGGUGACAUAGAUGUGAUGUCAUAGUGCACUGUGUAGGGAACAGGGUUCUAUUGGUGACAUAGAUGUGAUGUCAUAGUGCACUGUGUAGGGAACAGGGUUCUAUUGGUGACAUAGAUGUGAUGUCAUAGUGCUCUGUGUAGGGAACAGGGUUCUAUUGGUGACAUAGAUGUGAUGUCAUAGUGCAGGGAAGGUGUAGAGAACAGGGUUUUAUUGGUGACAUAGAUAUGAUGUCAUAGUGUUCUGUGUAGGGAACAGGGUUCUAUUGGUGACAUAGAUGUGAUGUCAUAGUGCAGGGAAGGUGUAGGGAACAGGGUUCUAUUGGUGACAGAUGUGAUGUCAUAGUGUUCUGUGUAGGGAACAGGGUUCUAUUGGUGACAUAGAUGUGAUGUCAUAGUGCUCUGUGUAGGGAACAGGGUUCUAUUGGUGACAUAGAUGUGAUGUCAUAGUGCUCUGUGUAGGGAACAGGGUUCUAUUGGUGACAUAGAUGUGAUGUCAUAGUGCUCUGUGUAGGGAACAGGGUUCUAUUGGUGACAUAGAUGUGAUGUCAUAGUGCAGGGAAGGUGUAGGGAACAGGGUUCUAUUGGUGACAUAGAUGUGAUGGCAUAGUGCAGGGAAGGUGUAGGGAACAGGGUUCUAUUGGUGACAUAGAUGUGAUGUCAUAGUGCAGGGAAGGUGUAGGGAACAGGGUUCUAUUGGUGACAUAGAUGUGAUGUCAUAGUGCAGGG
This is a long non-coding RNA of Oncorhynchus tshawytscha (Chinook salmon), 2669 nucleotides long. The record is from Ensembl. Lineage: Eukaryota; Metazoa; Chordata; Actinopteri; Salmoniformes; Salmonidae.